This 253-nucleotide ribosomal RNA is filed under the name uncultured bacterium. RNAcentral describes it as "partial 16S ribosomal RNA". It matches the Rfam family "Bacterial small subunit ribosomal RNA", at positions 524 to 776 of the family's 1533-position model. The record is from RNAcentral.
UACGGAGGGUGCAAACGUUGCUCGGAAUCAUUGGGCGUAAAGCGCACGUAGGCGGUCUCGAAAGUCAGAUGUGAAAGCCCUCGGCUUAACCAAGGAAGUGCAUUUGAAACUUCGAGACUUGAGUACUGGAGAGGGUCGCAGAAUUCUCGGUGUAGAGGUGAAAUUCGUAGAUAUCGGGAGGAACACCAGUGGCGAAGGCGACUACCUGGCCCAUUCUUGACGCUGAGGCGCGAAAGCUAGGGGAGCGAACGGG